CGCCUUGCCAGCCCGCUCAGAAACUUAAAGGAAUUGACGGGGGCCCGCACAAGCGGAGGAGCAUGUGGUUUAAUUCGAUGAUACGCGAGGAACCUUACCUGGGCUGAACGUAAGAUGACUGUAGGUGAAAGCUUACAUCUCUUCGGAGCAUUUUACGAGGUGCUGCAUGGUUGUCGUCAGCUCGUGCCGUGAGGUGUCGGGUUAAGUCCCAUAACGAGCGCAACCCCUACCUUUAGUUGCCAUCAGGUUAAGCUGGGGACUCUAAAGGAACUGCCUACGCAAGUAGUGAGGAAGGCGGGGAUGACGUCAAAUCAGCACGGCCCUUACGUCCAGGGCUACACACGUGCUACAAUGGCCGAUACAGAGGGCAGUUACCUGGUGACAGGAUGCAAAUCUCCAAAGUCGGUCUCAGUUCGGAUCGGAGUCUGCAACCCGACUCCGUGAAGUUGGAUUCGCUAGUAAUCGCGCAUCAGCCAUGGCGCGGUGAAUACGUUCCCGGGCCGUU
This 505-nucleotide ribosomal RNA is filed under the name uncultured Sphingobacteriales bacterium. RNAcentral describes it as "bacterial SSU rRNA". It matches the Rfam family "Bacterial small subunit ribosomal RNA", at positions 903 to 1382 of the family's 1533-position model. The record is from RNAcentral. Lineage: Bacteria; Pseudomonadati; Bacteroidota; Sphingobacteriia; Sphingobacteriales.